CCGAAAAAUAAAAUAAAAUAAAUGAUAAAAAAGAAAACUUUAAAAAAUAAAAUAAAAUAAAGUAAAUAAAAUUAAAAAGUAAAACUAAAAAGAGUUCACUUAGGGGCCGUUUGGUUGCAUAUAAUUGCAACUGCAUUGCAGUUGUAACUGUAUGUAAAUACAAAUUUCGUGUUUUGUUUGAUGUAUUUAACUCCAACUGCUGCAGUAGGAACUGCAGGAGGAGGCCCAACUGCAGCAGUUCGAACUACGCCCAAAUUGGCCGUAGUUCCAACUACAGCAGUUGGAGAGAGCAACUUUAAAUAAAAGGUGUACUUACCUCCUCAAUUUUUUCAAACAAAAAUUAUUAUUUUUUUUUACAUUGGAGGUAAUCUCACCAUCAUAUAUAUAAAAUAAUAAAAUUUUAAAAAUUAUUUCUCAACUGCAUGCAACCAAACAAAUUAUUUAUACUUGCAACGCUUUCUACUACAGCCAACCAAACAAGAUUCAUAUAAUUAUAACUGCUGUAUUUCCAAGUGCAUGCAUCUCUAACUACACUAUAUUUAUAAUUACAUUUAACCAAACAACCCCUUAGAGCUGCAAAUGAGUAUAAUAUAUGGUAAGAAUCAUUUUUUUGAGA
This 616-nucleotide long non-coding RNA is filed under the name Ananas comosus (pineapple). RNAcentral describes it as "long non-coding RNA (ACOM_LNC011251)". The record is from RNAcentral. Lineage: Eukaryota; Viridiplantae; Streptophyta; Magnoliopsida; Poales; Bromeliaceae.